RNAcentral lists this ribosomal RNA (250 nucleotides) under uncultured bacterium. RNAcentral describes it as "partial 16S ribosomal RNA". It matches the Rfam family "Archaeal small subunit ribosomal RNA", at positions 474 to 723 of the family's 1478-position model. The record is from RNAcentral.
UACCGGCGGCUCGAGUGGUGGCCGCUAUUACUGGGCUUAAAGGGUCCGUAGCUUGAUAACUGGGUCCCUUGAGAAAUCCGCCAGCUUAACUGGCGGGCGUUCAGGGGAAACUUGUUUUCUAGGGACCGGGAGAGGUGAGGGGUACUGCCGGGGUAGGAGUGAAAUCCUGUAAUCCCGGUGGGACCACCUAUGGCGAAGGCAUCUCACCAGAACGGGUCCGACAGUGAGGGACGAAAGCUGGGGGAGCAAA